Vicia faba (fava bean) is the source of this 249-nucleotide non-coding RNA. The record is from the annotation of a GenBank genome assembly. NCBI's taxonomy places the organism in Eukaryota, Viridiplantae, Streptophyta, Magnoliopsida, Fabales, Fabaceae.
AUGACGAGUAGAGAGAAGUUUAUUACGGUAGCUGCCAUGGUUGUAGUUUUUCUUUUCUCAAUAGGUAUGCCCAGAGCAGAAGGUAGAAGGGUAAUAUCUGAAACAUGGACAUGUCCUAUCCAAUGUGGCCAAGCAAAACCUGAUUGUUAUACCUAUUGCACACAGAGUGGGAAGGGCUAUUGGAGAGGAGUGUGCAAGGAUUCAAUGUGUUGUUGUGCUACAAGGAAUGUGCAAGAGGGCCGUGAUUGA